Molecule: transfer RNA, 73 nt
Filed under: Ailuropoda melanoleuca (giant panda)
Lineage: Eukaryota; Metazoa; Chordata; Mammalia; Carnivora; Ursidae
Rfam family: tRNA
About the family: Transfer RNA (tRNA) molecules are approximately 80 nucleotides in length. Their secondary structure includes four short double-helical elements and three loops (D, anti-codon, and T loops).
Source: Rfam by way of RNAcentral
GCCCGGCUGGCUUAGUUGGUAGAGCAUGUGACUCUUGAUCUUGGGGUCAUGAGUUCAAGCCCUAUGUUGAGUG